GUCAUACUUACAUUCACAACCACAAGUAGUGAAAUUGUUCAAAACAUUUAAUUUUAUAAUUUCUUUAGCUUGUUAAUAUAAUUAGGUAUAUAGAUUGUUCUUGUGUCAUGUAACUCAUAUCCCUUUGCAAUUGAAAUUUCUUAUAUCAAGAGGAUGCUUAGAUCUGAAACAGUGAGAUUUGAAGAUGUGAGGCAGUAGAUCCUAUUUCUAAAAAAAUUCUAUCGAAAGAAAAUCAAGCAGUGACUAUGUCGUUGCAUCUUCUCAAAGAUCUGAAGAUGUGAGGCAGUAGAUCCUAUUUCUAAAAAAAAAUUAUCGAAAGAAAAUCAAGCAGUGACUAUGUCGUUGCAUCUUCUCAAAGAUUUUCUUGUGAAGAGAUUUUAUCGGUCAAACGAUGAUCAUGUCAUUGCAUCUUUAUCGUUAUUCAAACAAAGGGAGUAAAACUUUGGAGUAAAUGAG
Molecule: long non-coding RNA, 456 nt
Organism: Solanum pennellii
Lineage: Eukaryota; Viridiplantae; Streptophyta; Magnoliopsida; Solanales; Solanaceae
Exons: 5
Source: RefSeq, a predicted model, not a curated record